RNAcentral lists this ribosomal RNA (464 nucleotides) under uncultured bacterium. RNAcentral describes it as "partial 16S ribosomal RNA". It matches the Rfam family "Bacterial small subunit ribosomal RNA", at positions 28 to 507 of the family's 1533-position model. The record is from RNAcentral.
GACGAACGCUGGCGGCGUGCUUAACACAUGCAAGUCGAACGGAAAGGCCCUGCUUGUAGGGUACUCGAGUGGCGAACGGGUGAGUAACACGUGGGUGAUCUGCCCUGCACUUCGGGAUAAGCCUGGGAAACUGGGUCUAAUACCGGAUAGGAGCCAUUUUUAGUGUGAUGGUUGGAAAGUUUUUUCGGUGUAGGAUGAGCUCGCGGCCUAUCAGCUUGUUGGUGGGGUAAUGGCCUACCAAGGCGGCGACGGGUAGCCGGCCUGAGAGGGUGGACGGCCACAUUGGGACUGAGAUACGGCCCAGACUCCUACGGGAGGCAGCAGUGGGGAAUAUUGCACAAUGGGCGCAAGCCUGAUGCAGCGACGCCGCGUGGGGGAUGACGGCCUUCGGGUUGUAAACUCCUUUCGCUAGGGACGAAGCUUUUGUGACGGUACCUAGAUAAGAAGCACCGGCUAACUACGUG